Molecule: long non-coding RNA, 357 nt
Filed under: Rattus norvegicus (Norway rat)
Lineage: Eukaryota; Metazoa; Chordata; Mammalia; Rodentia; Muridae
Description: long non-coding RNA NONRATT010987
Source: RNAcentral
UCCCGAGCUGUUGCAGCUCAUACCCCUGUGACUGCUGGCAUUUGGAGCGAGCUAAAGACAAUGCGAAGACACAGAAAUGAGGUGACAGUGGAACUCCGGAAGAACAAAAGAGACGAACACUUACUGAAAAAGAGAAAUGUUCCCCAAGAAGAAAGCUUAGAAGAUUCAGAUGUUGAUGCUGAUUUUAAAGCACAAAAUGUAACACUAGAAGCUAUAUUACAGAAUGCUACAAGUGAUAAUCCCGUAGUCCAGUUGAGUGCUGUGCAGGCAGCAAGGAAACUAUUAUCCAGUGACAGAAAUCCACCAAUUGAUGACCUAAUAAAAUCUGGGAUUUUACCAAUUCUAGUCAAAUGUCUA